RNAcentral lists this ribosomal RNA (253 nucleotides) under uncultured bacterium. RNAcentral describes it as "partial 16S ribosomal RNA". It matches the Rfam family "Bacterial small subunit ribosomal RNA", at positions 524 to 776 of the family's 1533-position model. The record is from RNAcentral.
UACGUAGGGUGCAAGCGUUGUCCGGAAUUAUUGGGCGUAAAGAGCUCGUAGGCGGUCUGUCGCGUCUGCUGUGAAAACUCAGGGCUUAACCCUGAGCUUGCAGUGGGUACGGGCAGACUAGAGUGCGGUAGGGGAGACUGGAAUCCCUGGUGUAGCGGUGAAAUGCGCAGAUAUCAGGAGGAACACCGGUGGCGAAGGCGGGUCUCUGGGCCGUAACUGACGCUGAGGAGCGAAAGCGUGGGGAGCGAACAGG